AUUAAUUCAAUAAUAAGACGAUUUAAAGUGUUUUAAACUUGGAUAGCUGUGUAGAGGAAAGAGCUUCGCUUUGUUACUGCCAGUUAAAUUCUUCUUGAUGGUGAAAUUGCCAACUUUAAUGAAUCAAAAAAAAAAUGAAUGUCUUUUUCCUGCUGUACAGUUGAAUUCCACACUGAUCACGGUUGGCUCCCACCAGUGCUGCCAGGAUUGGCUCCAUCUCCCUGCAGGCGUGAACUGGUACACAGGCAGGUUAGAAUGUGGACGUUUGCCACAUGCACACACUUAAAGAACUCAUCAACAGUGACAGGGACGGCAGUACAUAGUGGCAUAGUGUCAUGUUUGUCAUCCUGAUAGCUAGUGCCAUGUUGGCAAAGUCGGACUAAACUGAACACGGAAACCUUGAUAACCUUUAAGAAGUUUCUGAAUGAGAUUUUUAUAAUGGCUUAGCUAUUAGCCAAACAAACUAGCCUGCUGGACCGAAUGGUCUUCUCUCGUUUGUCAAAUGUCUGAUGUUCUAGUACAGUUCUGCAUGGGUACAGGUAAUCUCCAACCUCCAUUGCAUCUCGACUCCUCUUCACUCCAUUGUGUUCUUAAAGACCUUAGUAACAGUGACAGGGACGGCAGUGCAUAGUGGCAGAUUUUCUUAAAAAUGGUGUCACGUUUGUCAUCCUGAUAGCUAGUGCCACGUUGGCAAAGUCGAACUAAACUGAACACGGAAACCUUGAUAACCUUUAAGAAGUGUCUGGAUGAGAUUUUUAUAACAGAUUAGCUAUUAGCCAAACAAACUAUCCUGGUGGACCAAAUGGUCUCCUCUCGUUGUCAAAUUUCUGAUGUUCUAGUACAGUUCUGCAUGGCUAGAGGUAAUUAAUCUCCAUCAUCCAUUGCAUCUCGAUGACUCCUUUUCAUAUAAAUUUACACUCUGCCACCGUGGCUGCCAUGGGUGGGUAAACAGUACCACUCAAGUGCCCCCAGCUUAUACAGUAAAUGGGAUCAACUAGAAGUCUUCCCACAGGUUAUGUUGCUGAGAGCCUGCUGGGAGGCUACGACGAUUUCACGAUUCUGUUUACAGUGCGGCCACCAUUACAAAACCUUUAUUAUUACUGAAUACUGGAAACAACAAAACUCAAAGCGCGUAUUCAUCUCACCUGUUAACGUAUUCUUUGAGAAGGAAGGAAAGCAAAAUUUUGAGUUUUGGGUGAACUAAACCUGUGAUCCAUUUUUUUUUUCCUGCUUUUGUCAAAAAAUCCGUGGUAUUGUGUGGCUGUGAUUUAUGAACGUUUCGAAGGGUAAGGUGAUGAAAUGAGCGUAUAGAAGACUGUAAAUAUUUAUCUUUUUUUAACUUCUUUGAUUUGUGCAAAUGAACUUUAGAAAUCCUUGCUGGCUUAAAGCCAGGCGUCCAGUAUCUAAAAAGCCAUCUCACCUGCUUGUUUUUCUCCGGUUCUUCUCGAUGCCUGAAUCUAUAAAUUCCCAAAUGUAUUCUAAUAAUCGCCAAGUCCUGUUCUUCUCCACACGGCCUAUAAUAAUCACAAAAGGCCAAAGCGUCACCCUUUUUUCUCAAGGCCGUGAAGGUGAGGUGAGGUGAGGGUUAGGUAUUAUAAAAGCACCUGGGUGUGGUGAUCCCCAAAUGUGCAUUAUUAUGGGACAGGCCAGUAGCAGCUUCAUGCUAUGCUUUUUCUAUGAAACCAAACUUGCAUGUUAAAUCAGCUGUCUGGGGUGCAGAUAGAUUGUGUUGGGUCCGUUAAGUGGGUGUUUGUGGCGAUGUGCACAGGUUGGCAUCAUCUCCCGUGAUCUAAAUGUAAACAUGCUACACAGACCACUCUUAUGGGGUCUAAUGCUGCCAUUUUACAGUCAUGGUAGUCCUGGUGAUGAAUGGACUAUAACACGGUAGAUGGUUAACCCAGCACAUGCCAUCAAGGAGAAUCGGAGCAGCCAGAAGAUGAGAACGGGGUGUCCCACUGGGAAUUUUGGGGGGGGGGAGGGGGGUGGUCUCUUGCAAACAGGGACUUGAAUAUUUUAUUUAGUGAGCUCCCAGUUUACCAAACCUCUUUUCACUUAAGGUACCACCCAGUCUGCGGUGGGCUGGCGCCCUGCCCGGGGUUUGUUUCCUGCCUUGCGCCCUGUGUUGGCUGGGAAUUGGCUCCAGCAGACCCCCGUGACCCUGUAGUUAGGAUAUAGCGGGUUGGAUAAUGGAUGGAUGGAUGGUACCACCCAGUACUCUCCAAUGUGUCUCCUCUCUCCUGCCCGCUUUAUGUACAUUCUGCAGAUUUCCAUUUCCCAGGUGCCCAUCGUAGGAGACAUUACUUGCGACCCCCCCCAAUAGCAUUUGCUGUUUCACAUUGUUUUGCCCCUCUUACCCACUUUGACUUGUUGCCGCAGAUCUGGACUGUCACAGCUCCUGUGUCUCUGACGUCUCACAGAAAUGGAAAAAUAGUUUGUGAAAUGCUCGGCGAAUUUGCUCGUAAGUUUAGAAGCGGGUACAGCACAUGGGGUAGAAAGGCAAACUCAGCUGAAGGAGUAGAGCCUUUGGUGGGCACGUGGGGUGCUACCAUCCUAUGCGAAUCUUCAGUUUUCCUUUUUCUUCCAUCUUGCAGUCAGAUUUAUAUGCCUUGAGGAGUAACAAAAUCUCCGAGAUUAAAAACCUCAUUAGGACAAAGGGAAAGGCGAAAAAACAAAAUAGUUUGGCUUCCCCCUUUUUUUACCAGUAGGAGCCCCCAGUAUUCCCUAUCUGGCUGUUCCAGCGGCCACCAGUUUGGAAGUGAGGUGUAAACUGAUCGCACAGGCUUGAUUCCUGCCUGAUGCCCAGUGCUGCCAAGGUAGACCCAAUAGACCCUGGCCACCCGCACCCCAGAGUGUCACAUGCAUUGUGCCCCCGUGUCAGUGAAUUCACAAAACCUUUGACCCUCAUAAAUGAGAGCCCUGUGAAAUCACAACAGUUGUGCCACCUUUAUAACAAAUCUUAGGAUGCCGCCUCCAAUGUCCUGUGUCAUCCAUAACACCUGUGUGUAGUAAACCAUGAAGAAGCCCCUUUGGGUACUCCAGGGGCUGCCCCUUUAAAAUGUCAGCUGCUUUGGUUAUGGGGUGUGUAGCCUGCGGUUCACACCGAUGGUUAUGUUUUUCAGAUGUUUUUGGACUUGUCCAGCUGUGCCAUGCGUUGUCAGAUAAGGACAUUCUUCCCAGGUCUCCUUUCACGUCUCGCUUUGUUAUUUUUUAGUCGGAUAUGGUUGCCUAAAAUGGGGUCUGUGUGCUUGUAUCUUUUCCUGCAUGUGCCAAAUGUGUAUACAGUAUCUACAGAAU
This is a long non-coding RNA of Erpetoichthys calabaricus (reedfish), 3294 nucleotides long. RefSeq lists it as uncharacterized. Lineage: Eukaryota; Metazoa; Chordata; Cladistia; Polypteriformes; Polypteridae. The record is from RefSeq and is a predicted model, not a curated record. The transcript is spliced from 2 exons.